AUUAAGGUGGCAGAAUAGUGCAUUAGAUUUAAGCUCUAAAUAUGAAGAUUAAAUUUUUUCCCUUAAUA
This 68-nucleotide transfer RNA is filed under the name Lunella aff. cinerea STW-2013. RNAcentral's name for it is "tRNA-Leu". It matches the Rfam family "tRNA". Rfam says of the family: Transfer RNA (tRNA) molecules are approximately 80 nucleotides in length. Their secondary structure includes four short double-helical elements and three loops (D, anti-codon, and T loops). Lineage: Eukaryota; Metazoa; Mollusca; Gastropoda; Trochida; Turbinidae. The record is from RNAcentral.